RNAcentral lists this ribosomal RNA (657 nucleotides) under uncultured fungus. RNAcentral's name for it is "eukaryotic LSU rRNA". It matches the Rfam family "Eukaryotic large subunit ribosomal RNA", at positions 24 to 664 of the family's 3401-position model. Lineage: Eukaryota; Fungi. The record is from RNAcentral.
CCCGCUGAACUUAAGCAUAUCAAUAAGCGGAGGAAAAGAAACUAACAAGGAUUCCCUUAGUAACGGCGAGUGAAGAGGGAACAGCUCAAAUUUGAAAUCUGAUGGCCUACGGCUAUCCGAGUUGUAAUCUAGAGAAGUGUUUUCCGCGCUGGACCGUGUACAAGUCCUUUGGAACAAGGCGUCAUAGAGGGUGAGAAUCCCGUCUACGACACGGACUACCAGUGCUUUGUGAUACACUCUCAACGAGUCGAGUUGUUUGGGAAUGCAGCUCAAAAUGGGUGGUAAAUUCCAUCUAAAGCUAAAUACAGGCGAAAGACCGAUAGCGAACAAGUACCGUGAGGGAAAGAUGAAAAGCACUUUGGAAAGAGAGUUAAACAGUACGUGAAAUUGUUGAAAGGGAAACGCUUGAAGUCAGUCGCGUCUUCAGAAAUUCAGCCUGGCUUCUGCCUGGUGUACUUUCUGGUUAAUGGGUCAGCAUCAAUUUUGACCGGUGGAUAAAGGUCAGGGGAAUGUGGCAUCUUCGGAUGUGUUAUAGCCCUUGGUUGCAUACAUCGAUUGGGAUUGAGGAACUCAGCAUGCCGCAAGGCCGGGUUUUUAACCACGUACAUGCUUAGGAUGCUGGCAUAAUGGCUUUAAUCGACCCGUCUUGAAACACGG